GAUGAACGCUGGCGGCGUGCCUAAUACAUGCAAGUCGAGCGAACAGACGAGGAGCUUGCUCCUCUGACGUUAGCGGCGGACGGGUGAGUAACACGUGGAUAACCUACCUAUAAGACUGGGAUAACUUCGGGAAACCGGAGCUAAUACCGGAUAAUAUAUUGAACCGCAUGGUUCAAUAGUGAAAGACGGUUUUGCUGUCACUUAUAGAUGGAUCCGCGCCGCAUUAGCUAGUUGGUAAGGUAACGGCUUACCAAGGCGACGAUGCGUAGCCGACCUGAGAGGGUGAUCGGCCACACUGGAACGGAGACACGGUCCAGACUCCUACGGGAGGCAGCAGGAGGGAAUCUUCCGCAAUGGGCGAAAGCCUGACGGAGCAACGCCGCGGGAGUGAUGAAGGUCUUCGGAUCGUAAAACUCUGUUAUUAGGGAAGAACAAAUGUGUAAGUAACUAUGCACGUCUUGACGGUACCUAAUCAGAAAGCCACGGCUAACUAC
Molecule: ribosomal RNA, 494 nt
Filed under: uncultured bacterium
Lineage: Bacteria
Description: partial 16S ribosomal RNA
Rfam family: Bacterial small subunit ribosomal RNA
Source: RNAcentral